ACCUGCGGAGGGAUCAUUACACAAAUAUGAAGGCGGGCUGGAACCUCUCGGGGUUACAGCCUUGCUGAAUUAUUCACCCUUGUCUUUUGCGUACUUCUUGUUUCCUUGGUGGGUUCGCCCACCACUAGGACAAACAUAAACCUUUUGUAAUUGCAAUCAGCGUCAGUAACAAAUUAAUAAUUACAACUUUCAACAACGGAUCUCUUGGUUCUGGCAUCGAUGAAGAACGCAGCGAAAUGCGAUAAGUAGUGUGAAUUGCAGAAUUCAGUGAAUCAUCGAAUCUUUGAACGCACAUUGCGCCCUUUGGUAUUCCAAAGGGCAUGCCUGUUCGAGCGUCAUUUGUACCCUCAAGCUUUGCUUGGUGUUGGGCGUCUUGUCUCUAGCUUUGCUGGAGACUCGCCUUAAAGUAAUUGGCAGCCGGCCUACUGGUUUCGGAGCGCAGCACAAGUCGCACUCUCUAUCAGCAAAGGUCUAGCAUCCAUUAAGCCUUUUUUCAACUUUGACCUCGGAUCAGGUAGGAUGCCGAAUU
Molecule: ribosomal RNA, 529 nt
Filed under: Alternaria sp. A-2
Lineage: Eukaryota; Fungi; Ascomycota; Dothideomycetes; Pleosporales; Pleosporaceae
Description: eukaryotic LSU rRNA
Rfam family: 5.8S ribosomal RNA (bases 185-338)
Source: RNAcentral